GCAGUCGAGCGGAAGGCCCUUCGGGGUACUCGAGCGGCGAACGGGUGAGUAACACGUGAGCAACCUGCCCCAAGCUUUGGGAUAACCCUCGGAAACGGGGGCUAAUACCGAAUAUUACUUCUGGCCGCAUGGCUGGUGGUGGAAAGUUUUUCGGCUUGGGAUGGGCUCGCGGCCUAUCAGCUUGUUGGUGGGGUGAUGGCCUACCAAGGCGACGACGGGUAGCCGGCCUGAGAGGGCGACCGGCCACACUGGGACUGAGACACGGCCCAGACUCCUACGGGAGGCAGCAGUGGGGAAUAUUGCACAAUGGGCGGAAGCCUGAUGCAGCGACGCCGCGUGAGGGAUGACGGCCUUCGGGUUGUAAACCUCUUUCAGCAGGGACGAAGCGGAAGUGACGGUACCUGCAGAAGAAGCGCCGGCCAACUACGUGCCAGCAGCCGCGGUAAGACGUAGGGCGCGAGCGUUGUCCGGAUUUAUUGGGCGUAAAGAGCUCGUAGGCGGCUUGUCGCGUCGACCGUGAAAACUUGGGGCUCAACCCCAAGCCUGCGGUCGAUACGGGCAGGCUAGAGUUCGGUAGGGGAGACUGGAAUUCCUGGUGUAGCGGUGAAAUGCGCAGAUAUCAGGAGGAACACCGGUGGCGAAGGCGGGUCUCUGGGCCGAUACUGACGCUGAGGAGCGAAAGCGUGGGGAGCGAACAGGAUUAGAUACCCUGGUAGUCCACGCUGUAAACGUUGGGCGCUAGGUGUGGGGGGCCUCUCCGGUUCCCUGUGCCG
Molecule: ribosomal RNA, 773 nt
Filed under: Micromonospora saelicesensis
Lineage: Bacteria; Bacillati; Actinomycetota; Actinomycetes; Micromonosporales; Micromonosporaceae
Description: bacterial SSU rRNA
Rfam family: Bacterial small subunit ribosomal RNA
Source: RNAcentral